Molecule: ribosomal RNA, 253 nt
Filed under: uncultured bacterium
Lineage: Bacteria
Description: partial 16S ribosomal RNA
Rfam family: Bacterial small subunit ribosomal RNA
Source: RNAcentral
UACUGAGGUCUCGAGCGUUGUUCGGAUUCAUUGGGCGUAAAGGGUGCGUAGGUGGCGCUGUAAGUCGGGUGUGAAAUCCUGAGGCUUAACCUCGGAACUGCAUUCGAUACUGCGGCGCUUGAGGACUGGAGAGGAGACUGGAAUUCAUGGUGUAGCAGUGAAAUGCGUAGAGAUCAUGAGGAAGACCAGUGGCGAAGGCGGGUCUCUGGACAGUUCCUGACACUGAGGCACGAAGGCCAGGGGAGCAAACGGG